This is a long non-coding RNA of Dermacentor andersoni, 896 nucleotides long. RefSeq lists it as uncharacterized. NCBI's taxonomy places the organism in Eukaryota, Metazoa, Arthropoda, Arachnida, Ixodida, Ixodidae. The record is from RefSeq and is a predicted model, not a curated record.
GCUGCAGCAGCGAAUCUGCCGCUCUGUCUUGGCUCAGUGCCAUCGUCUGUCAAGCGUUGUUUUACUCACAGACAGCAGCAAAUGGUGGUGAUAGUGUAUGCAACAUCACUUCUCCAGUUCGAUGGUGGAAAUUUGAAUUUCGAAAAAGGUAUUCAGACCCGUCCGAUGCCAUUCUCUUGUAAACGAAGUCUUUUCUUGGCACGAAACAAGCGUUGCGAGGUUGCUGGAAUGGUAGUUAAGCAGUCCAUGCCGACUUAGUAUUUGCCUUUAGUGUCCCUUUAAACAAGCCAAAGAGGUUGCAAGGAGACAGAGGUGAGCAAGAGAAGCCUUGGUCUGGAGCCAACAUUUCAACAAGCAAGCAUAUUUGUGAGGGCCCACGCUGAGGCUUCCCUUGCUCCUCCACUGUUGAUUGGCUGAAUAUUAAGCGGAAUUUAAUCUGAGAGCAACUUCAAAAUUUUUUUGUGAACACACUGUGCUCAGGUUUGUCAUGUGCUGUUGAAAGAGAGAAAAAUUGCUUUUAGUGACUUGUCAUGUUUAUGAAUUGUGGAGUAGGCCGGUUGUAAGAGCUUGCCUGUUCUAGCUAUCUCUUUCCCUAAAGUGCAGGGCUAGCCUAGUUAUCGAUUUCAUGCUAACUGUACAUGAACCAUGUAGGAGCACGUGACUGCCAGAGAUUGUCAACAUAAAGUAUCAAUGUGGCCAAUCGGGCAUGAAAGGAAGCAGCGCAAAAAAUGCAUGGAGGGAGACAAGAUGACGAGGGCGAGCACUGAACUUCCGUCAACACGAUUGUGAAUGGUACAGGAUAGCCUGUGGAGCACACUCGACUCGAAAUAAGGUGUUGGUACAUACUGCGCCGAGGGACGAACACAGAGGCAAUAAACAUCAGUAUGCAGAUGAGA